This 3924-nucleotide long non-coding RNA is filed under the name Marmota monax (woodchuck). Lineage: Eukaryota; Metazoa; Chordata; Mammalia; Rodentia; Sciuridae. The record is from RNAcentral.
UAUAUAUAUAUAUAUAUAUAUAUAUAUAUAUAUAUAUAUAUAUAUAUUUUUUUUAAAGAUAGAAUCUUCAAAUGUUUACUGUGGUAGAUACUGGAAGUACAUUUAAGGGAGAAAGGGUAUAAUUUGUAAUAGUAUCACUGAGAGCUGAAAAAGCAACUAAACUUUUUUUUCCACUGCUGGCAGGGUAAACUUUUUUUUCCCCCACUGCUGAGCUACAUUUUCCAGCCCGCAGCUAAUGAUUUUUAAUAUUUGCAGCUCACUUUUCCAAGUAUUGAAACUUCAUUUGAAUGUCUAAAUCAGUUUUUGUUAUCUUAGAAAUCCAGUGAAAAAUGAGAAAUGUGCGAUUAGCCAAACAUACCAGUUAAUCCAAGGAGAUCUAAGGUAUCAAAGGUUAACAAAAUGCAUUUGCACUUCAAGUGUAGUGGCUAAUUACACUUGAUAUGUACAAUUGUAUCUAAUCUGUGGGAAGAAGAAAAAAGGGAGUAGGGGAGAAAACAUAUCCAAAGAGAAAUAUACCAAAAUAUUGUUUUUUAUUUUUAAAAGAAUUAGAUAGAGCUGCAGGUGUAGCUCCAUGGUAGAAUACACGUGCAAGGCACUGGACUCAAACUCUAGCAUAGGGGGGAUAAGAAUCAAAAAAGUGGACCAUUCCUUCCUCCAGCCCAUGAUAACCCUAAAAUUAAGGAGACUUGAUACUUGAUAAGCAAAUUGAUUCUAAGCAUUAUUAUAGAUACCUGUCCAUUGGCAUGUACACUCAUAUCCUUUACCUCCCUGUUCCUCCAGUUCUUCUCUAUUUACAUACAUGUAAAAAAUUUUUAGAAAUGUAAGGAUGGCAGGUAAGUGGUAACAUUAGGGCUGGGGAUGUGGCUCAAGCGGUAGUGCGCUCGCCUGGCAUGCGUGCGGCCCGGGUUUAAUCCUCGGCACCACAUACAAACAAAGAUGUUGUGACCACCGAAAACUAAAAAAUAAAUAAAAUAUUUUUUAAAAAUUGUAACAUUAAUACUUAUUGAUUAAAUAUGCACAGGCAGUAUUCAGUUUGAGAAAAUUGGAGGUCGAUAAAAACUAUCACUGCCUUGAGUUUCAUGGAAUAGUGACCUGCAAUAGCAAUAUAUACAAUAUAACAAGCGUUCUUUCCUGAAAAUGCUGGUAAAUUUAAUUCAGAAGAUCAAAAUACUCUGGCUGAAGUGCUAUCUGGUUGGACCAGAAGUCCAGCAAGGAGUCUCUUGAGAAGUGGGGUUUUUUAUUUUUAAUUAAAUGAGAAGGAUUGGAAAUACUAUCUCUUGACAGGCAGACCCUACCUUGGAAGUCUCAGAAGUCUCAUUAUCCAUAGAAAAGGUGUACCAACAAGUACACAAGACUUAUUUUGCCUACGUCCAUUUGUUCUUUAAAUACCAAACUCUUAAAUUCCUGGGGGAAAUCAAAGGCCCUUUCAAAAAAAAAAAAACGAGGAUAAGCCUGGGCCAAAAGAUCAAAAGAUUCCUAGUCUCCAAAGCAGUAACUGUGCAGUGAGUACCCGCCCAUUUUGAACACCGCGCAACUCCUAUGGGCGUGGUAUAAUUAUGUGGGCCUUUACUCCCAACAGACUGGAUUUGAGAGUAUAUCUGGGAGACAGAUACCGACCAGUAUCCUCAUCUCUUCGAUCAAUAAAACUGGGGAGGCACUUGGAGAAGGGGACAAAUGUGCCUGCUGCCGAGCCGCACGCACUGGCUUCUCUGGUUCACCAAGCCGCACCCAGACUGCACAGAAGGGUGCACUCUUUUUCUAGAAACAGCAGGGCCUAAGGACAGGAAGGGAGCUGGCUAGUCCCUACUACGAGCAGGCGCCGCAGAGCUCAGCGGGCUGCUUCAAGGACGCCGCGAUCCCGCAUUUGGAGACUACGGAUCCCUCGGGGCUGAGGCCGGGCAGAUCUUUCCUACCCCCAACUCAAAGAAACUGGUGGCGCGACGCUCGCCCCUGCACGCUAGGAGAAAAUGGAGCAGGGGACUGGCGGAGAACGCGCGCCACUCUCCGGGCGCUGUUUCUCCCUUCCUCGGCCUUCACCCUGGACCCCGGGAACAGAGAAGCAUGAGGCCACGAGCCUGAGUUCGGAUGGGCCAUUUAGUCACUCCAUCCUGCUCCACUAAUCCUGUCUGCUCUUCCCCACCCGCCAGACGCCAGACUUGGUUCCUCGGGCCGCGGCUGAGCGCACCACAGCCCCGCAGCAGGGAGAGCUCUUGCUUUCGCGUCCCAGGCCAAGCCGUGUCGUUGCAACCGCGGCUUUUCCACCCAGCGCCGCAGACCAAACCCACAGUGUGGCUGUGGCUCCUGACCUGGGAGCACAGGCUUCCUGGGGCAUCCAGACCGAGGAAAUUGGGAGCCUUUCCAGGCCAUGGCGGAGGGCUAGGCCUCCGGAAACCCGCGGGGAGAGGAGGCUCAAAUCUGUGCUGCGGAGGCCGCGAUGAGAGCAUAGCAAUGCGGCGCUACGAUGCUGACACCGCUGUGGUGUCUGGGGCAGAUUCUACGUGCUGUCUUCCAAAGGGCGGGCGGCCGGGACCCAGAUAGGCAGUCUUUGGAUCUCAGACUUGAAGGCCAAAGUCUAUCUGAAGUUGGAUCCAAUAGAAAGUCUCUCCAGAGUCUGGGCAUCAAGGCUAUGCCCACGGACGUAAAGAGUGAGCGUGGAUUGAAGCGUUUGGGGCAUUAAAAACUCCCCACUUUUCCAAGGAAGACAUUUUCUUUGAGAAGAAUGGUAAAGAAAUCAAAGUGUUGAACACACCAGGCAGGUGCUGGGCAUAUAUUGGAAUGAAUCCAAAAGCACAGGAAACAUUAGGUUCACAUUUAAAAGGAUUCAUUUUUGCCCUUCAAUCUUCACAGGAGAGAGGGAGAGGGAGAUGGAGAGAGAGAGAGAGAGAGAGAGAGAGAGAGAGAGAGAGAGAGAGAGAGAGAGAGAGAGAGAGAACAAAUUUAUAUGAACACAUAAUUAAAUACGGAAUAAAUUUUUGUUGACUAUUUGGAUUCCCUCCCCAUCCUUAUAAGCAAAAGCUAAAUGGAAAAGAGAAAUAACAUUUUUAAGAAAAUGCUUUUAGUAGAAACUCAAUUAUCCAAAUUUCUGAAUUCACCAAGAUUAAAAUAAUCAUAAAACAAAGCAAAAUAAAACCUUGGAAGCAUAAAUAAGGUAUAUGAGCGGUGUCUACACAGAACCUUUGAAUUGGUUCACAGCAUUUCUCCAAAGAAGCAAAGAGAAAAAUAUAGAAAGUGUCUUUACUUUAUGUUUCUAUUUUAAUCAUGGUAUUUUAUUUACCUCAUCAUAAAUCUCCUGUUGAAGGAUGGGGGUAUCAGUAGCAGAAUAUUUGUCUUGGAUGCACAAGACUCUGGCUUGGAUCCCCCAGAACCAGAAACAAACAAGCAAACAAACAAACCCUGAAAUUUAGUGUUAGUUUAAAAAAAAAAAUCAGAGAACACUACUUUGAUGCCAUUUGGAUUUUUAAGAAUAAGAUUGUUGAGGUGCAAUUAAUUUGGAGAUGCACAGGUCUCCUUAUUUUAGACUUCUUAAAGAGUUUUAUUGAUUUACAUGGUACUAAUAUAAAUAUCCUUCAAUGUAGCUAUCUUUAAAAUAUUUUAGGAGGUGUAUGCUUCAUCAAUAAAUUAUCAUCAAAAAUUAUUGCACAAAGGAUCAAAGUAAGUGGUAGAGCACUUACCUAGUAUGUAGGAGGCCCUGAGUUAGAUACCCAGCAAUGGGGGGAGAGGGAAAUUUUACACAGGUAUAACCAAAAGAAGACAUGAUAUAUGCUCAGUUGGGGUACUGUAACGGAUGAACCACAGAUGGGUUCAUCUCUCUCUUUCACAAACUGUCUUUGCUCUUAUAUUUUGUCAUAGUAUCAAUUUUAAAAAUUAUCCUCUAAAAGAUUCUAAAUUUCUAAUUAAAAAUUUUCUAAACAUGCUUGAUUCUUA